Molecule: ribosomal RNA, 441 nt
Filed under: uncultured bacterium
Lineage: Bacteria
Description: partial 16S ribosomal RNA
Rfam family: Bacterial small subunit ribosomal RNA
Source: RNAcentral
CCUACGGGGGGCAGCAGUGGGGGAUAUUGCACAAUGGGGGGAACCCUGAUGCAGCGACGCCGCGUGGGUGAAGGAGCGUUUCGGCGCGUAAAGCCCUAUCGGCAGGGAAGAAGGAGGACGGUACCUGACUAAGAAGCCCCGGCUAACUACGUGCCAGCAGCCGCGGUAAUACGGAGGGGGCAAGCGUUAUCCGGAUUUACUGGGGGUAAAGGGGGGGCAGGCGGCAGCGCAAGCCAGGGGUGAAAGCCCGGGGCCCAACCCCGGGACUGCCCUUGGAACUGCAUGGCUGGAGUGCGGGAGGGGCAGGCGGAAUUCCUGGUGUAGCGGUGAAAUGCGUAGAUAUCAGGAGGAACACCGGCGGCGAAGGCGGCCUGCUGGACCGCGACUGACGUUGAGGCUCGAAAGCGUGGGGAGCGAACAGGAUUAGAUACCCUGGUAGUC